RNAcentral lists this ribosomal RNA (247 nucleotides) under uncultured Propionivibrio sp. RNAcentral's name for it is "partial 16S ribosomal RNA". It matches the Rfam family "Bacterial small subunit ribosomal RNA", at positions 527 to 773 of the family's 1533-position model. Lineage: Bacteria; Pseudomonadati; Pseudomonadota; Betaproteobacteria; Rhodocyclales; Rhodocyclaceae. The record is from RNAcentral.
GUAGGGUGCGAGCGUUAAUCGGAAUUACUGGGCGUAAAGCGUGCGCAGGCGGUUGUGUAAGUCAGAUGUGAAAUCCCCGGGCUCAACCUGGGAACUGCAUUUGAGACUGCACGGCUAGAGUGUGACAGAGGGGGGUAGAAUUCCACGUGUAGCAGUGAAAUGCGUAGAGAUGUGGAGGAAUACCGAUGGCGAAGGCAGCCCCCUGGGUUACUACUGACGCUCAUGCACGAAAGCGUGGGGAGCAAAC